CUGCGGCGGGGGAGCAUCCUCCUCGCCGAGGAUGGUUUCCCUCAGGUCCUGGGUUGGGGGUUUCUCCGGCCCCUUUCGCUCCUCCUGCAGCGGAGACGGCAGCGGCUUUAGGAGACGCUGUGCGGCCCUGAGCAUCCCCGUCCCCGAACUCGUGUCCCCACCGCGUCUGCAUCGCCCGCCGGGGCAGGCUCGGCUCGAAGCCCGGGCAAGGGGCGGAGGAGGCAGGAUUUCGGCUGCGGACCCCCCAUCAGCUGGACUCACCCUGGCAGGAGGGAUUAUUGGGGCCCUGUCAUGGAUGGGGACGGUGGCUGCUUCUCCCAAGUCUGCAAUACAGCGAUUUUGGAUGUGAAUAAAAGCACGAAAACCAGGCAGAAGACAUUACAGGGAGACGCUCCCCUGCGCCCAAGCGGGUGUCGCCACCCAAACUGGUGCCAAACACGUCGCGGCAGGUCGGACCGUGUCUUACCCGAGGAGUCGCUGCUCGAGGCCACUUGGUUGCCGCUUUCUGCGAAACGAGGCAAAUACACAGGUUGCAUUAGAAUAAUUUGGGGGUUGGAUGCACUUUGCAAAAGCCCCAGCAAGUUCCUUCUGGGAAGCCGGUCGUGCCAGGGGCCCUACGUGCAAGGAAGGGUUUUGGUUUUGCUUUGCAGGAACUAGUGAUGCCUUAAAAGCAGGCCUAUGACUAGGCCAGAAUUUCAGGUCGUACUAAAACAGAAAAGAAGAAGUCCUGCGCUACAGACCAAAUCUGGAACCGGGCAGCCCAAAGGUCAGGAAGAGCACGAGCAAAGCAACGGCCACAAAAAUGACCGGGGACCAGUACCGCACGGGAACGGCCGACGCGUUUUCUGGAAGAGACGAGAGGCUGGUUGCACCGGUUGCGCUCUGCGGAAGCGGAGCGGGCGCUUCGGGGCGCGAGACCCUGGCUUUGGGGUACUCACGGCUCUUGUUCCCCGCGGCGCCCGCUCCCGUCGGCGGGGCGGAGGGGUCGGCGGCCCCGUCCCCCGGGGGGACCCACGUCCACGCCGCCGGCUCAUCCCCUUCCCCGGCGGUGGAGUUGGGGGCCCCCUYGGGCCCCGGGACGCCGUCGGGCUGCUGGAGGCUUUGGCCUCCCUGCUCCUCUCCUACGAGGACGAGAGCUGGGAACAAAGUUCGUUAAUUCACAUCAGCGCUCGAUAGCUCCAGCGGCACCGGUGCCGYGUUCCCAAACGCGAGCGGCUCAGCCCAGGACCCAUUUCAGCCUCGCGGCGUUUGGGCUCAGGAGCUUGGCAGUCUCCUCCUGCCCUUUGCUUUCCGGGCUGUCUCGCACCGGCUUCCUGCGCUUCUCCACCAACGCGUGAGAAAACCAUGCGUGAAACAAGCGCUGGCGGUUUGCAGCUCUUUUCCCAGCGUGCAGCGUUUCCCCCCCCGCACGUCACGUCACGCCGAGCCGGAGAUGGGGCAACAGCCGGCGGGGACAGCUCAGGCGGCGCACGGUGGUGGCGAGACGGCCCCGGGGCUCGCGGGCCUGAGUCAGAGCUGCCCACGGCGGAGCCGCCGGCGACCUCGGUGCUCCCGCCUGCCCGAGCAUCCCUGGCGCGCGUCCUGCAAGAAGCCCGGCCCGAGCGGCAGGACACAUUGCCGGAGCCAGGAACGUGCAAGCCCGGGGUUGCAGCACCCCCCUGCUGCAAUGCAAGAGCCCGGACGCCCCAACGCCUCCCUCCACCGCGAGGACGUGGGAGGUCCGAGCCUGCUCCCGGCUAACCGGCCCCCGUC
Molecule: long non-coding RNA, 1752 nt
Organism: Apteryx rowi (Okarito brown kiwi)
Lineage: Eukaryota; Metazoa; Chordata; Aves; Apterygiformes; Apterygidae
Source: Ensembl